This 540-nucleotide ribosomal RNA is filed under the name uncultured bacterium. RNAcentral describes it as "bacterial SSU rRNA". It matches the Rfam family "Bacterial small subunit ribosomal RNA", at positions 777 to 1314 of the family's 1533-position model. The record is from RNAcentral.
AAUAGAUACCCGGGUAGUCCACGCCGUAAACGACUGAGUGCUAAGUGUUAGACGGGUUUCCGCCCUUUAGGUGCUGAAGUUAACGCAUUAAGCACUCCGCCUGGGGAGUACGGCCGCAAGGCUGAAACUCAAAGGAAUUGACGGGGGCCCGCACAAGCGGUGGAGCAUGUGGUUUAAUUCGAAGCAACGCGAAGAACCUUACCAGGUCUUGACAUCCCCUGACAACCCUAGAGAUAGGGCUUCUCCUUCGGGAGCAGAGUGACAGGUGGUGCAUGGUUGUCGUCAGCUCGUGUCGUGAGAUGUUGGGUUAAGUCCCGCAACGAGCGCAACCCUUGAUCUUAGUUGCCAUCAUUAAGUUGGGCACUCUAAGGUGACUGCCGGUGACAAACCGGAGGAAGGUGGGGAUGACGUCAAAUCAUCAUGCCCCUUAUGACCUGGGCUACACACGUGCUACAAUGGACGGUACAAAGAGCUGCAAGACCGCGAGGUGGAGCUAAUCUCAUAAAACCGUUCUCAGUUCGGAUUGUAGGCUGCAACUCG